UACGAGGGGGGCGAGCGUUAUUCGGAAUCACUGGGCGUAAAGCGUGCGUAGGCUGCCUAGUAAGUUGGAAGUGAAAGCCCAGGGCUUAACCCUGGAAUUGCUCUCAAAACUACUAGGCUCGAAUUCGGGAGAGGAUAGCGGAAUUGUCAGUGUAGCAGUGAAAUGCGUAGAUAUUGACAGGAACACCAGUGGCGCAAGCGGCUAUCUGGACCGACAUUGACGCUGAGGCACGAAAGCGUGGGGAUCAAACAGG
RNAcentral lists this ribosomal RNA (253 nucleotides) under uncultured bacterium. Its description in RNAcentral is "partial 16S ribosomal RNA". It matches the Rfam family "Bacterial small subunit ribosomal RNA", at positions 524 to 776 of the family's 1533-position model. The record is from RNAcentral.